Papio anubis (olive baboon) is the source of this 106-nucleotide small nuclear RNA. The record is from Ensembl. Lineage: Eukaryota; Metazoa; Chordata; Mammalia; Primates; Cercopithecidae.
UAAGUAAAUAAUUAAAAUGAAAUUGGAAUGAUACAGAGAAGAUUAGUAGCAUGGCACCUGUGCAAGGAUGACACGUAAAUUCUGAAGCGUUCCAUUAAAAAUAUAU